This 621-nucleotide long non-coding RNA is filed under the name Cicer arietinum (chickpea). RNAcentral describes it as "long non-coding RNA (CARI_LNC001889)". The record is from RNAcentral. Lineage: Eukaryota; Viridiplantae; Streptophyta; Magnoliopsida; Fabales; Fabaceae.
UUCCUAUCUACAAGAAACCUCUCCCUCCUCCUGUGCCUGUCUAUGUAAAACCUCUUCCCCCUCCUGUGCCUAUCUAUAAGCCUCCUGUAUAUGUAAAACCUCUCCCUCCUCCAGUGCCUAUCUAUAAGCCACCUGUUUACGUGAAACCUCACCCUCCUCUUGUGCCUGUUUAUAAACCACCUGUAUACGUGAAACCUCACCCUCCUCCUGUGCCUGUCUAUAAACCACCUGUAUAUGUGAAACCUCACCCUCCUCCUGUGCCUGUCUAUAAGCCUCCUAUUAUUCCAGUUACUAAACCGCUUCCACCACCGGUUCCGUUCAAGAAACCAUGUCCACCAAAGAUUGAGCAUCCAAUUCUACCACCUGUUCCAAUAUAUAAACCUCCAAUAGUUCCAAAGCCACCGGUGGUUCCGAUCGUCAAGCCACUUCCUCCUCCAGUUCCAAUUUACAAACCACCAGUUGUCACUAAACCUUUUCCUCCAUUCAAGAAACCACCAUGUCCACCAAAGAUUGAGCAUCCAAUUCUACCACCUGUUCCAAUAUAUAAACCUCCAGUAGUUCCAAAACCACCGGUGGUUCCGAUCGUCAAGCCACUUCCUCCUCCAGUUCCAAUUUACAAAC